This 459-nucleotide ribosomal RNA is filed under the name uncultured bacterium. Its description in RNAcentral is "partial 16S ribosomal RNA". It matches the Rfam family "Bacterial small subunit ribosomal RNA", at positions 338 to 795 of the family's 1533-position model. The record is from RNAcentral.
CCUACGGGAGGCAGCAGUGAGGAAUAAUGGACAAUGGCCGAGAGGCUGAACCAGCCAAGUCGCGUGAGGGAAGAAUGUCCUAUGGAUUGUAAACCUCUUUUGUCAGGGAGCAAAGUCACACACGAGUGGGUGUUGGAGAGUACCUGAAGAAAAAGCAUCGGCUAACUCCGGGCCAGCAGCGGCGGUAAUACGGAGGAUGCGUGGGUUAUCCGGAUGUAUGGGGUUAAAGGGGUGCGUAGGCGGGUUAUCAAGUCAGUGGUAAAAUCGUGGAGCUCACCUCCAACCAGCCGGUGAAACUGAGGAUCUUGAGUGGGCGAGAGGUAUGCGGAAUGCGUGGUGUAGCGGUGAAAUGCAUAGAUAUCGCGCAGAACUCCGAUUGCGAAGGCAGCAUACCGGCGCCCGACUGACGCUGAAGCACGAAAGCGUGGGGAUCGAACAGGAUUAGAUACCCCUGUAGUC